This 35-nucleotide ribosomal RNA is filed under the name Lathyrus pannonicus subsp. collinus. RNAcentral describes it as "partial 25S ribosomal RNA". The record is from RNAcentral. Lineage: Eukaryota; Viridiplantae; Streptophyta; Magnoliopsida; Fabales; Fabaceae.
GAGACCUCAGGUCAGGCAGGGCUACCCGCUGAAUU